Mauremys reevesii (Reeves's turtle) is the source of this 1367-nucleotide long non-coding RNA. RefSeq lists it as uncharacterized. The record is from RefSeq and is a predicted model, not a curated record. NCBI's taxonomy places the organism in Eukaryota, Metazoa, Chordata, Testudines, Geoemydidae. The transcript is spliced from 4 exons.
UAUGAGGAGCCGCCAGAGACUUCCCUGCUCCCGUGUUGUUACCCCGAGGAACCCCCGGAGCAGAUUUGGCCAGACUUCCCCGAGGAACUGCCGGAUCGACCUCCCCACCCCAGCCCGGGCUGCGAGGAGCCCAUGGUGUUGGACUUCCCGGGAGCAGACGCCGCGGAACAGGUUGGGCAGAUUAUAGGAGAAAAUUGGUGCAGGAGAAAGAUCCCUGAAACAUCUAAGCUUCGGGGCAAAUAAAGAGAUUGGCCAGGGAAAAGGGAGGACACAAGUUGGGAGUCGCAUCUGUUUUCCUCAGGCCUGUUGGGCCUAGAAUGCUGAAAUUUCCCCAAUACAGGGCGACUCUACUCCAGAAACCAACACAAGGUAAACCUGGGCAAUUACCCCAAGUUGCUCAGCAGGGGACAGAGUGCCCGGAGGACAUACAGACAUGGUGGUGCCCAGCGAAAUUAGCCAAACUUGGUUCAAUCAGGGGCAGUAUUCUACACGCCAAAAAGGGUAAAAGAAAAGAAUUGUGUGUGCCACCCAAUGCUGAUGGCCAGUGUAAAACAAUUAGCUGGCACAGUUUAUCUAGUAUUAGCUUUAGCGUGCAUGGACACAAGCCAUGGUUAAAGCCAACCACGUCACUAACCAGUUACCAAACCUAUUGAAAUCUCUGGGGUAGACAGGACCCAGUGCUAAAAAGACACGAACACUGUGCUAUAUGAAGCUACUUCAAAUUAAGUGCAGCUUUUAAAACAUACCUACCUAGCCCCUUACAACUAGCACAAUUCUUCACUUUAUCCAUUAAGUCAGAAAGAGUAUUUAGCACCCUGCCACUUAAUGCCAAGUGUUACUUGUUUUCAAUAUGAAAACAUUACUUUUGAAGGCUUUACUCUAUGUCACUGGGCCAGUACUGACCUGUGUAUUCUAAAGCCAAUGGGAGCUGAGAGCCCCAGUCACAGUACUGAGCACAGAAAAUCAUAGCACUUGCAAGCCUGAAUUCUGAACUGAGAUGAAGAGUCUUGACAAGGUUCUUUUUCAUUGAUGUGUUUCUCCUCUACGUAGGUACUUAAUCCUAGAUCCAGCUAGGGGUGCUGAUGCAUUUCUAAACGUACCAGUGAUCAAUAGGGAGCUUGUUAGGUUGAUGUCUCAGAUUCUCCAGUUAACCGUCCAUAACAUUUCCAAUUUAAGUGGCUGAUUAUGGGAGAAAAUAUAAUAAACGACAGAAUUGUGACUUCCCAAAGGAGACACAGCAAACAGGAGCUACUUCGAAAAAUCCGAUUUUAUUUUUUAAAUGGAAAAGACCUGUCAAUUUGUUUAAGUGGAUGUUUCUCUUUCCAGUCGUAGUCUCAAAGGUCACUGUUUUAACAUUGCUCAGAACC